AUCUGGAUGACGAGUCCCAAAUUGGACGAAAUGCGCAUCUUGCAU
RNAcentral lists this non-coding RNA (45 nucleotides) under Trichobilharzia regenti. Lineage: Eukaryota; Metazoa; Platyhelminthes; Trematoda; Strigeidida; Schistosomatidae. The record is from RNAcentral.